RNAcentral lists this ribosomal RNA (253 nucleotides) under uncultured bacterium. RNAcentral's name for it is "partial 16S ribosomal RNA". It matches the Rfam family "Bacterial small subunit ribosomal RNA", at positions 524 to 776 of the family's 1533-position model. The record is from RNAcentral.
UACGGAGGGUGCAAGCGUUAAUCGGAAUUACUGGGCGUAAAGCGUGCGCAGGCGGUUUGUUAAGUCUGCUGUGAAAUCCCCGAGCUCAACUUGGGAAUUGCAGUGGAUACUGGCAGGCUGGAGUAUGGUAGAGGAAGGUGGAAUUCCCGGUGUAGCAGUGAAAUGCGUAGAGAUCGGGAGGAACACCAGUGGCGAAGGCGGCCCUCUGGACCAAUACUGACGCUCAUGCACGAAAGCGUGGGGAGCAAACAGG